Molecule: long non-coding RNA, 2258 nt
Organism: Bos taurus (domestic cattle)
Lineage: Eukaryota; Metazoa; Chordata; Mammalia; Artiodactyla; Bovidae
Source: Ensembl
GGGGACCCUGUGUGGUGGGGACCCUGCGUGAUGGGGACCCUGCAUGGUGGGGACCCUGUGUAGUGGGGACCCUGCAUGGUGGGGACCCUGGGUGGUGGGGACCCUGCGUGGUGGGGACCUGCGUGGUGGGGACCCUGCGUGGUGGGGACCCUGCGUGGUGGGGACCUGUGUGGUGGGGACCCUGUGUGAUGGGGACCCUGCGUGGUGGCGACCUGCGAGGUGGGGACCCUGUUCGGCUCCCUGGGCUCCUGCCAGCGCAGCUCCAUCUCUCCGUCUCUGUUUCUGAGGGUCUGUCUCUUAUUCUCUGUCUUUCUCUAUCUUUCUGUCUCUGUCUCAUCCUCAGACUCCAGGUACUGGGAGCUGACUGUCCCUGUCCCCGAGGGGUGAUCAGUGCCCACUUGGAAGACCCUCUACGACAGUUUAAAACGGAGGAGAAAUCUUUCCAUGGGUUCCUAAGGGCCAGCUGCUGUCCUGUUUGAGGGAAGAAAUAUUGAUUGCUAAUAUCUGCAAUAAUGAACCCCAGCAAAUGACACAAAUUACAUUUCAGAUGGCAACUUGACAGAUGACACCUCCAGAGGAGUCCGCAGAAACGUCAUUUGCCAAACUCGUAUUAAAUGUUCUCUGGAGACAGAUUUAAAAUAACUUUGGGGGUGAAAGUCUGAAUCGCUCAGACGUAACAGUGACAGCACGUGCUAGCUGGAAUUAUAUAUUUGUGAACUAAUUCUCGCAUAAAAUUAGAGUUUGAGGACUUGAUGGCUAAGCUGGCCGUUUUCAUUGUUAGCAAUUAUCUUGCAACCAGUUAGAAUCUAUACCCCCAAACCUCAUUUAAAUCUUUCCCACAAAGCGCUGCGUAAGGAAAAGCAGCCCCUACAGAGCAUCUGGGGAAGUUUCUCUUUCUCAGAUGGGGGGGCUGCCUGUAACACUGUGAGUUGGCGGACAGCCCUGUGUGGGCGGUGCGGGGGGACGUGCGUUUAAUUCACGAGGGUUACGGGGCAGCCCGGCCCUCUGGGCAUGCCUGUGGCUGGACCAUGCGUACGAGGUCACACACGGCUCUGAUUUCACGGCCCCGAGAUGGGAGACCCUUCUGUUCAGACCUCCAGGGGGCAGGAGGAGAGGAGAGAGAUUUGGGGUCUUCAGGUACAAACCUCAGGGUUCACGCCGGGCUGGGCUGGACACUGACGGCGCUUUGCUCUGUCCGCUGUGUUCGCUGCAGGCUGGGCAGGUGGGGACCGCGGGAGGGCACUAUCUCUGAGGCCACGGGGCAGGUCUGGAGGGCUCCAGCAGACGCAGUCGCCUCCCCAUCCACAUCCCCAGGGCCACGGCUGUCACUUCCUCACCUCGAUGGCUGCGAGGGGUGCCCAACCGCGUCCUGCCUGCCUCGCUAAUCUACGCCGAGGUCCUGGACGGGAGCCGGGGUCCAGGCGCCCCAGUGCCUGCCCACGGCUGACCGGCUCUGGAUGCAUGCCCUGUAGCCCUUGGUGCCCUUCUCAGAAGGACCCUGCGAAGGACUUCAUACCAGCUUCAGCUCUACCUAAUCUCCCCGAAAUGGCUUCUGGUUCAUCACUGAAAAGCCUCCCGGGGAAGGGCUGUGUGUUCACUGUCAAACUUGGACCCUGCCCCCCUGUGCCUUGCGGGCACCCAUGGGAUGAACAGUCACAGGUCAGCCGUCCGCAUCAGAAGAGGGCUCGCCCUGUGCUUACGUGGCUGUGAGGCCGUCCUCACGGGGCCAGUCCCUCUUGGGUUUCUGCUCGGCCGUGCAUGGCAGCGUGGUGGGGAGGUGCCCGGCUUGGGGCCAGGCUGUCUGGGUCCAGUUCUCAGCCUUACUAGGUACUGCUGUAUCAUCUUGGGGAGUUUGCUCGAUCUCUCUGUCUUCCCAUCUCUAAAGCAGGGCUGAAAACUCUAGCUGCCUCAGGCUUGGUGUGAAGAUGAGCAAGUUAGACACAAGCGCGUGCGUGUAAAACCGAGGGACUGUGAACAGGGUCAAAGGAGUGUGCUGGCACUGCCGUCGGACGUGAGGCUGCAGUCAGGCGCCUUUCCUGCCUGGUACCACGGGAGCAGCUGGGCGAAGCGGGCAGGGAGCCCUUUAUGACCCCUCACCACUGCAUCUGUCGUCGUUCAGUCGCUGAGCUGUGUCCGACUCUUCAUGACCCCACGAACCGCAGCAAGUCAGGCUCCUCUGCCCUUCACGACCUCCCAGAGUUAGUGCAAACCCAUGUCAGUUGAUUCAGUGAUGCCAUCCAAUACCUCAUUCUAACCUA